Molecule: long non-coding RNA, 754 nt
Organism: Pocillopora damicornis (cauliflower coral)
Lineage: Eukaryota; Metazoa; Cnidaria; Anthozoa; Scleractinia; Pocilloporidae
Source: RefSeq, a predicted model, not a curated record
GUUUCACAGAAUUCGUCAAAAUUAUGAAAGUUUCACUGUCACUCGAACAGCUAAACCCAAGAGUUGAACGUUCUCUGGAUAAAAUUACAAAUAUCAAAGAGAGAGUUGAUGAAAUUUUGGGCGAGAAACCCUCAUCAAGCAGCUGACCGAAGUUGAUGCAGGUGGUUCAAUAUUUACUCAAAAAUUCUAAAGACAUUUGCAUAUGUUUGGAUUUUCACAUUCUACAGAGGUGCUGUUAUUUCUGCCAUGAAUGUAGAGAAUUACAUCAACGCUUGCAAUCGAACAUCAAAAGCUGGAUUACGGCAAUUGCUUGAGUCAGAUAAGUACAUUCCUACUUUUUAUUUUGAUUUUUUGAACUGUUCACCUCAUUGCUAAACUUUGAUUGCGUAGAAGCAACAAUAAAGUUUCCGCUAACAAGACAGGUAAGUGAUAGUAGUAAGUGAGCCAACGCACGUCAUCAGAGAUCGGAUUAUUGACUAGUUGAAUACGCAUUGUAUCUGAUCACUUUGGAUAGACUUGAGAAAACACCCAUUGAAGCUUGUGUGUUUCAAUUCGCUGUUAAAGGAACAACUUUCAGACUAUGAAUUAUGUCAGGCCCCACCUGACAAACUUGAAAGACUCACUUUCAAGUGAAACAUAUUCUGCAAUACAAGAAAAGCAGGAGAAAGACCUUUGGAAGAUGAAACGCUUUCAAGCUACGUGUUAUCUGUUUUCCUUGUCACCAUCGAGAUGCUCUGCCACAAAUGUUAUGCCA